RNAcentral lists this long non-coding RNA (840 nucleotides) under Bos indicus x Bos taurus (hybrid cattle). RNAcentral describes it as "lncRNA (ENSBIXG00000025097.1)". Lineage: Eukaryota; Metazoa; Chordata; Mammalia; Artiodactyla; Bovidae. The record is from RNAcentral.
UAGAACAAUGCUGGAAUACACAGAGCAGUUGUUCUGUAGAUACACCCAUUGUCUCUGUAACUGAAGUUCCAAGCAGAGCACUGUCACAAGCAUAUUUAUGACAUAAUCCUCCUGGUCCACACACAGAGAGUACUAUGAACCUAUCGUAUACCUUGUUGUUCUUUUUUGGCAUUAACUUUGCUCUUAUUUCUCAAUUGAUAAAGGGGUUGAUGGUUUCCUGGCUAGACAUGGUAGAUGUCUGAAUCCUGUAAGACAACUGGAACCAAUUUAUCACUGGGCAGAAGCAUCUUCUACUAAUGGAAAUGGCAGAUGUCCAGCCUACCCUUCCAGGAAUGGGAGAGUUCAUAUGGGAGGAGAAUCAUACCCUCAAAAAUUUCAAGGUGAGUUUCCGGCAAGUUCUCUACCUAGAGAUUUCAUUUGCUAACCUGAUCAUGGUACAUUGGUGACCUGCACUUUUUCAAAUUGAAAUAUAGUUCACUUAUAAUACUAUAUUAGUUUUGGGUAUACAACAUAGCUAUUUGAUAUUUUUAUAUAAUCCAUAUAAGGUUAUUAUAAAAUAUUGGCUAAAUUCCUUGUGGUGUAUAUCAAAUACUUGUAACCUAUUUAUUUUGUACCUAGUAGUUUUUACUUCUUAAUCUCCUUCACCUUUCUUGCUACUCCCCUACCCCUUUCCCUUCUGGUAAUCACUAGUUUGUUCUCUGUAUGUGAGUUUGCCUUAUUUGUUAUAUUCAUUCAUUUUAUUUUCUAGAUUCCAUAUAUAAAUGAAGACACACAGUAAUUGAUUUAUUAUUUCACGAAACAUAAUACCCUCUAGGUGCAUCCAUGUUGUUACAAAUGGCA